Non-coding RNA from Aspergillus puulaauensis, 79 nucleotides. Lineage: Eukaryota; Fungi; Ascomycota; Eurotiomycetes; Eurotiales; Aspergillaceae. The record is from the annotation of a RefSeq genome assembly.
AUCGGGCUAGCUCAAUUGGUAGAGCGUGAGCGUGAGACACUUAAUCUCAAGGCUGGGGGUUCGAGCGCCCCGUUCGGCU